AGGAUGAACGCUGGCGGCGUGCUUAACACAUGCAAGUCGAGCGGAGGUUUAAAGCGGAAGUUUUCGGAUGGAAGCAGAAAACCUUAGCGGCGGACGGGUGAGUAACGCGUGGGUAACCUGCCUCAUACAGGGGGAUAACAGUUAGAAAUGACUGCUAAAACCGCAUAAGCGCACAUUGUCGAGUGACAGAGUGUGAAAAACUCCGGUGGUAUGAGAUGGACCCGCGUCUGAUUAGCUAGUUGGUGAGGUAACGGCCCACCAAGGCGACGAUCAGUAGCCGGCCUGAGAGGGCGACCGGCCACAUUGGGACUGAGACACGGCCCAAACUCCUACGGGAGGCAGCAGUGGGGAAUAUUGCACAAUGGGGGAAACCCUGAUGCAGCGACGCCGCGUGAGUGAAGAAGUAUUUCGGUAUGUAAAGCUCUAUCAGCAGGGAAGAAGAAAGACGGUACCUGACUAAGAAGCCCCGGCUAACUACGUGCCAGCAGCCGCGGUAAUACGUAGGGGGCAAGCGU
RNAcentral lists this ribosomal RNA (515 nucleotides) under uncultured bacterium. Its description in RNAcentral is "bacterial SSU rRNA". It matches the Rfam family "Bacterial small subunit ribosomal RNA", at positions 26 to 541 of the family's 1533-position model. The record is from RNAcentral.